GACGAACGCUGGCGGCGUGCUUAACACAUGCAAGUCGAACGGAAAGGCCCUGCUUUUGUGGGGUGCUCGAGUGGCGAACGGGUGAGUAACACGUGAGUAACCUGCCCUUGACUUUGGGAUAACUUCAGGAAACUGGGGCUAAUACCGGAUAGGAGCUCCUGCUGCAUGGUGGGGGUUGGAAAGUUUCGGCGGUUGGGGAUGGACUCGCGGCUUAUCAGCUUGUUGGUGGGGUAGUGGCUUACCAAGGCUUUGACGGGUAGCCGGCCUGAGAGGGUGACCGGCCACGUUGGGACUGAGAUACGGCCCAGACUCCUACGGGGGGCAGCAGUGGGGAAUAUUGCACAAUGGGCGGAAGCCUGAUGCAGCAACGCCGCGUGCGGGAUGACGGCCUUCGGGUUGUAAGCCGCUUUCGCCUGUGACGAAGCGUGAGUGACGGUAAUGGGUAAAGAAGCACCGGCUAACUACGUG
Molecule: ribosomal RNA, 468 nt
Filed under: uncultured bacterium
Lineage: Bacteria
Description: partial 16S ribosomal RNA
Rfam family: Bacterial small subunit ribosomal RNA
Source: RNAcentral